UCCUUAUCAUUUUAAAACUCUCUUUCAGAUCUAUGUGGGAGGACAAGGUUCGUUUCCACGAGGUCUGAGCCCCACACGUGCGCCAUUCCUGUCUGCUCUCCCUGUCUGCUGGCGUCAUUUGUUCAUUUCAUUGACAUCUAUUGGAUGGGCGCCACCCUGAAACAGCGAGAAUACUGCAGUGAGCCAGCAGAAAAAAUACAAAAAUCCUUUCCUGGUGGAGUCUAUAUUCAGAUGAAUGACAUCACGUGUCUUCCAUGCUUUGACGUUUGAGUCAAUGUCUACCAUCCCUGUCCCAAAUCUGCACCCUCUAAAAAUUUGACACCAGUCAGGACUACCAUGGGAAGAGAAGGGAGAAGUGCCUUAGUGUCAUUGGUGACCCUCAAAGGCAUUGCUGGAGUUUGAAGCUCUCCUCUCUGCUGUGAUACUGUCCCAAGCAAGAAGGAGUGGUCCUCCAUGCUGCCGCUGUAGGAAAGCUACCCUGGUGGUUGUCUAUGCCGAGGUGGAGUUCAGUGUCAAGAAAUUCAACCGCCUUACAUGAUGGGCCAUCUGGCUGCAACAUCAGUCACCCCAUUGAUCACCAGCAUGAUUCAGCUGACCCGGCUGACUAGGAAGCAAGCUUGAAACACAACCACAAUGCAGCACAACGCCACCAGCUUUUGAAGCCGUCUGAAAGGUAUUAACAAUUCAUCCCUGAAAAUGCUCCCUCACUGGCGAGAAGUCUUCAGGAGACUUCGGUGUGGGUCUGAGAACCUGCAGAGCGACCGACCUUCCCUUCCUCAGACAUUUGGUGUCACUGAAGCCCCCAGGGACCACUUCAGUCUCCCAGACUUCUGCCCAUCCCAUCUUGUAGAGAUGAGGCUGGCCAUGGGAUCCUGGUACCAAUGGAGCCAGUGGCUGUUUUAAUUCCCCACGCACCCUGAGUAUUAGAAGUCU
Molecule: long non-coding RNA, 933 nt
Organism: Peromyscus eremicus (cactus mouse)
Lineage: Eukaryota; Metazoa; Chordata; Mammalia; Rodentia; Cricetidae
Exons: 4
Source: RefSeq, a predicted model, not a curated record